Molecule: long non-coding RNA, 465 nt
Filed under: Cyanistes caeruleus (blue tit)
Lineage: Eukaryota; Metazoa; Chordata; Aves; Passeriformes; Paridae
Description: lncRNA (ENSCCEG00000014504.1)
Source: RNAcentral
GAGAACUUUGACUAUAGGGAACUUCAGCAUGUUGUUUUCUGACUGAUAUUUCUUGCUGCUUCUAGUUGGCAAAAUGCCCUGUGGAGGUUCUGCUGUGAAUCAAGAAGCUCUAGAAAUAGUGGUAGCUGGAAAUGGGGAUACGCAUCAUUAGUUUGCUUUAAACCAGUACUCUCUCUAAUAUUUAAUUCUUUUUUUUAUCCCCAGAUAAUAUACAGGAAUUCAAGGAGGGGAUUGUCCUCAGUCCUCCAUCAGAGAAGAGGAUGGACCAAAAAUAUUUUUUGGCAGACAAAGGAGCUGCAGUUACCUGGGGAGAAUAAGAACAGAAAAAGACAUUUGAACACAGAUGUCAAGGAUGCAGAAGAAUCUCUGUUUUAUAGACGGGGAAAAUGAAGCACAGAGGGAUUACAGAGACAGAUGUUACACGGUUGGUACAACUCUACUCACUUUAUGGAAAAAAUAAUCCCU